AUCUAGUCUAUGUAUAUGUAUGGUCGGCACGUGUGGUAGCAUCUCUGGCUGCUGUUGACCUUGUUUUUGGAGUAAAACACGGUGGAGGCUGAAUUAGUGAGGAUGACUCCUGCUCCUGUCAUCUCUAAGCUCCUCACACAUCUUUACCUGCACAUGAGGAAAAUCACUCCUGUAGAAUGCAGAUGUUCAGAGGGAGAUGAUGCCACAUCUGGUCCAGCUGAUGGAAGGUCUUGAAGUUCUCUGACUGGCCUGGACUGAAGAUGGUCGUCUCACUGGAUUUAAGGUUCAAAUGCCCAGUAACAAACUCCACCAAUGUGCCAACAGGGAAGCUUUAGGUUUAGUAAAUGUUGCUAUGAAGGUUUCACUGUUUUUCUUUGUGAAUGCAAUGUGCUCCAACUGAAACUUGAAUUAGAACUUAGAAGUAAAUCCUUCCAUCUGAAAGGAUUUAGUUGCAUUAAUAAUCUCAUAACAUUCUAAUUUUUAUUCCAGUCUUGGUUGGAAAUAGAAUCUCUGUAUUGAUUCAGGUAAAAACUGAACUUCACAGCAUGUUGGAGCAAAACAACCAGAUGAAAACUGUGAUGGUGUUGGAUUGUCAGACCGUAAUGUUGCAGCUCAAAGCAGCUUUUCUAGCUCAGUUCAUUCUGACAUUCAGCUAUGAAUCAACACAGCAGAUGGUGAUCCAUGCUGUGGAAGUCUCACAUCUCCUGAUUUAAUGGAGCUGCUUUGCACUUUUUA
Long non-coding RNA from Amphiprion ocellaris (clown anemonefish), 735 nucleotides. The record is from Ensembl. NCBI's taxonomy places the organism in Eukaryota, Metazoa, Chordata, Actinopteri, Pomacentridae.